CCUACGGGAGGCAGCAGUAGGGAAUCUUCCGCAAUGGACGAAAGUCUGACGGAGCAACGCCGCGUGAGUGAAGAAGGUUUUCGGAUCGUAAAACUCUGUUGUCAGGGAAGAACAAGUAUGGGAGUAACUGUCCGUACCUUGACGGUACCUGGCCAGAAAGCCACGGCUAACUACGUGCCAGCAGCCGCGGUAAUACGUAGGUGGCAAGCGUUGUCCGGAACUAUUGGGCGUAAAGCGCGCGCAGGCGGCCUUUUAAGUCUGAUGUGAAAGCCCCCGGCUCAACCGGGGAGGGUCAUUGGAAACUGGAAGGCUUGAGUGCAGAAGAGAAGAGCGGAAUUCCACGUGUAGCGGUGAAAUGCGUAGAGAUGUGGAGGAACACCAGUGGCGAAGGCGGCUCUUUGGUCUGUAACUGACGCUGAGGCGCGAAAGCGUGGGGAGCAAACAGGAUUAGAUACCCUGGUAGUCCACGCCGUAAACGAUGAGUGCUAAGUGUUGGGGGUUUCCGCCCUCAGUGCUGCAGCUAACGCAUUAAGCACUCCGCCUGGGGAGUACGGCCGCAAGGCUGAAACUCAAAGGAUGACGG
RNAcentral lists this ribosomal RNA (583 nucleotides) under uncultured bacterium. Its description in RNAcentral is "bacterial SSU rRNA". It matches the Rfam family "Bacterial small subunit ribosomal RNA", at positions 338 to 916 of the family's 1533-position model. The record is from RNAcentral.